Molecule: ribosomal RNA, 492 nt
Filed under: uncultured Moraxella sp.
Lineage: Bacteria; Pseudomonadati; Pseudomonadota; Gammaproteobacteria; Moraxellales; Moraxellaceae
Description: partial 16S ribosomal RNA
Source: RNAcentral
CACAGAGUUAGCCGGUGCUUAUUCUGUGGGUAACGUCAGGGCUUAUGGGUAUUAACCACAAGCUUUUCCUCCCCACUUAAAGUGCUUUACAACCAAAAGGCCUUCUUCACACACGCGGCAUGGCUGGAUCAGGCUUUCGCCCAUUGUCCAAUAUUCCCCACUGCUGCCUCCCGUAGGAGUCUGGGCCGUGUCUCAGUCCCAGUGUGGCUGAUCAUCCUCUCAGACCAGCUACAGAUCGUCGCCUUGGUAGGCCUUUACCCCACCAACCAGCUAAUCCGACUUAGGCUCAUCUAUUAGCGAGAGCUAAAAGCCCCCUUUCACCCGUAGUCGUAUGCGGUAUUAGCGUUAAGUUUCCCUACGUUACUCCCCCACUAAUAGGCAGAUUACCUAAGCAUUACUCACCCGUUCGCCACUAAUCCGUCUAGCAAGCUAGACUUCAUCGUUCGACUUGCAUGUGUUAAGCCUGCCGCCAGCGUUCAAUCUGAGCCAGGA